Molecule: non-coding RNA, 1090 nt
Organism: Pelobates cultripes (western spadefoot toad)
Lineage: Eukaryota; Metazoa; Chordata; Amphibia; Anura; Pelobatidae
Source: the annotation of a GenBank genome assembly
GCUUUUCCCAAACCGUAUCACACGUGCGUGAACCUCACAUUAUUGACCACACUGCUACGACAACACCCAUCACGCCAUUUUGUUGACUACCUUAUCACGGGACUGACUGAGGGAUCUCAAACCGGGUUGGUACACUUACCUACCGGUACACUGGAAUGCGACAAUUUACAAUCCACAUUAGAUGAUCCACAGUUGGUACACACACUUAUCAUGACCAAUGUGAAACAAGGGUUUUUGUUGGGCCCAUUCUUUUCCCCACCCUUCACAUCUUGGAGAACCAACCCAAUAGGGGUUGUCACGGGGAAGACUUCACUCAAACCUAGACUGAUAAUUGAUUUAUCUGCACCACAUUCCUCCACUGUCCCCAGCCUUAAUUCACUCAUACCUUCCGAAUAAUUUUCACUACACUACGCCACUAUCGAUCAUGCCAUAGGGGCCAUUCUUAAAGCUGGCACAGGGGCGUGGCUAAGCAAAACUGACGGGGUAAAUGCCUUCAAAUUACUACCCAUGCACUCUUCCCUAUGGCAUCUACACAGCAUUAAAUGGCAGGGGUUGUAUUAUUUCUUCACCCUUCUCACUUUUGGCUCCAAAAGCAGCCCACAAAUUUUUGACACGUUUGCAGAAUCUGAAUCUGUUGGUUAUUACUUAAUGUGUGUAAAUGUCAUUCGGUUAUUCACUAUCUGGAUGAUUUCCUCACGAUUGAGAACACACUUCCCCCAAGUAGUUUGAAACACGUGUUGGCUCUGUUUGAAUCCCUUACCAUCCCAGUCUCCCCUCACAAGACUUUGGGUCCAGACACUAGCAUGCAAUUUUUGGGGAUCCAACUAGACAUGAUACAUAUACAGGCUAGCCUCCCUCAGGACAAGAUUGAGCGUACCCUGGCAAGCAUUGAACACUACCUACUACAAGGUUAUUGCAACCGGAAGGAACUGCAAUCACUGCUGGGGUCGCUCAAUUUUGGUACUUAAAUCGGUACUUAAACCAAUUGCACAUGCCAAGACACAAUAUUUUGGAAAUUAAAAAAAAACCAACAUAGUGUCCAUAAUGCCAGACUAAGAAACCCCAGGCAUACAUAACGGAAAUAGUUCAG